GUCGGAGAGGUUGAAAUCCGUGCCUGCAAGAUCGAAAUAUCGAGAGUUUAGAUGACUUACUGGAGGUCCCUGUGCUGCGAUCGCUGGCAUCAAACGCUGCUCGCAAGGGAUCCUUGGAACAUCGAUCACGCCUUCCAGCAUCUGGAGGACUCGGCUCAUCGAUGGUCUGUUGGAUGGAUC
Long non-coding RNA from Selaginella moellendorffii, 180 nucleotides. RefSeq lists it as uncharacterized. NCBI's taxonomy places the organism in Eukaryota, Viridiplantae, Streptophyta, Lycopodiopsida, Selaginellales, Selaginellaceae. The record is from RefSeq and is a predicted model, not a curated record. The transcript is spliced from 3 exons.